GGUCAGGUCGAGUAGACCAAGGCGCUUGAGAGAACUCUGCUGAAGGAACUAGGCAAAAUGGUACCGUAACUUCGGGAGAAGGUACGCUGUUGUUGGUGAUGGAACUCGCUUCCUGAGCUGACGACAGCCGCAGAAACCAGGCCGCUGCAACUGUUUAUUAAAAACAUAGCACUCUGCAAACACGAAAGUGGACGUAUAGGGGGUGAUGCCUGCCCGGUGCUGGAAGGUUAAUUGAUGGGGUUAGCGUAAGCGAAGCUCUUGAUCGAAGCCC
Molecule: ribosomal RNA, 271 nt
Filed under: Acinetobacter baumannii
Lineage: Bacteria; Pseudomonadati; Pseudomonadota; Gammaproteobacteria; Moraxellales; Moraxellaceae
Description: partial 23S ribosomal RNA
Rfam family: Bacterial large subunit ribosomal RNA
Source: RNAcentral